UUUAUUAGAUAAAAAACCAAUACAUACUUUUUCAAGUAUGAAAUUUGGUGAUUUACAAUAACUUAGCAAAUCGCAUAGUGAAAACAGGCGAUAAAUCAUUCAAGUUUCUGACCUAUCAGCUUUCGACGGUAUGGUAUUGGCUUACCGUGGCAGUGACGGUUAACGGGGGAUUAGGGUUCGAUUCCGGAGAGGGAGCCUGAGAAACGGCUACCACAUCUAAGGAAGGCAGCAGGCGCGCAAAUUACCCAAUUCUAACAGCAUAAGAGAGGUAGUGACAAGAAAUAACAAUACAAGGCAGUUAAAAUGCUUUGUAAUUGGAAUGAUAGAAAUUUAAACACUUUUUAAAGUAUCAAUUGGAGGGCAAGUCUGGUGCCAGCAGCCGCGGUAAUUCCAGCUCCAAUAGCGUAUAUUAAAAUUGUUGCAGUUAAAAAGCUCGUAGUUGAAUUUCUGUUAAAAAUAACCGGUCUGCUUUUAAUAAAAGUGGUAUCUUGGUGUGUUUUUAGCAAUAAUGUCCUUUGAAAUGUUUUUUACUUUAUUGUAAUAAAUAAUAUUCAGGAUUUUUACUUUGAGAAAAUUAGAGUGUUUCUAGCAGGCUAACGCUUUGAAUACUGCAGCAUGGAAU
RNAcentral lists this ribosomal RNA (622 nucleotides) under Hepatozoon felis. RNAcentral describes it as "bacterial SSU rRNA". It matches the Rfam family "Eukaryotic small subunit ribosomal RNA", at positions 203 to 815 of the family's 1831-position model. The record is from RNAcentral. Lineage: Eukaryota; Apicomplexa; Hepatozoidae.